ACUCCUACGGGAGGCAGCAGUGGGGAAUCUUAGACAAUGGGGGCAACCCUGAUCUACGCCAUGCCUGCGUGAGUGAAGAAGGUCUUAGGAUCGUAAAGCUCUUUCGCCAGGGAUGAUAAUGACAGUACCUGGUAAAGAANCCCCGGCUAACUCC
RNAcentral lists this ribosomal RNA (154 nucleotides) under uncultured Alphaproteobacteria bacterium. RNAcentral describes it as "partial 16S ribosomal RNA". It matches the Rfam family "Bacterial small subunit ribosomal RNA", at positions 335 to 504 of the family's 1533-position model. The record is from RNAcentral. Lineage: Bacteria; Pseudomonadati; Pseudomonadota; Alphaproteobacteria.